UACGGAGGGUGCAAGCAUUAAUCGGCUUUAUUGGGCGUAAAGGGCGCGUAGGCGGGUUUGUAAGUCAGAUGUGAAAUUCCCAAGCUCAACUUCGGAGCUGCAUUUGAAACUGCGAACCUAGAGGAUUGGCGGAGAAAAUGGAAUUCCACGUGUAGCGGUGAAAUGCGUAGAUAUGUGGAAGAACACCGGUGGCGAAAGCGGUUUUCUAGCUUAUACCUGACGCUGAGGCGCGAGAGCAAGGGGAGCAAACAGG
RNAcentral lists this ribosomal RNA (253 nucleotides) under uncultured bacterium. RNAcentral's name for it is "partial 16S ribosomal RNA". It matches the Rfam family "Bacterial small subunit ribosomal RNA", at positions 524 to 776 of the family's 1533-position model. The record is from RNAcentral.